Molecule: RNA transcript, 2255 nt
Organism: Corylus avellana
Lineage: Eukaryota; Viridiplantae; Streptophyta; Magnoliopsida; Fagales; Betulaceae
Gene name: Transmembrane CLPTM1 family protein
Source: RefSeq, a predicted model, not a curated record
AAACCCCAUCUUUACAAUAUUACUACAAAUAUCUUCCCCUUCCCGAUCCCUCAGAAACUGUUAUCUCUCUGUUUGUGUGAAAAGAAAAGAAAAGAAAAUUUUGAGCGGCGGUGAGAAUCAGAAAGUUAGAGAGAUGGCGCCGCCGGAAACGGAGGGGCAAGUUGAGCCAGGAAGGCCGCAACAGCAACAGCAACAGCAACAGCGAGGAGGGUUCUCUCAGAUGCUAACGGGUGUGAUAAGGAUGGCAGUGUUUUGGUACUUCGCUUCCAAAUUCUUCUCUCCCAAACGACCCUCCGGCACCGAGCCCUCCCAGCUCAUCUCCAAUAUCUUCCAAAAGGCCGAGCCCCUAGACAUGUGGUUGUAUGUUUCUGAACAUGAAACGUUCAAUGACUUCGGCAAUGAAAACGCACUUAUUUGGCAAGAAAGUAAUAUUCCAUAUGCGGUUUGGGGACCGGAGAGUACGAGGUCUCUUUCUUUGAAGUAUUAUCCAUCUGAGGCUUUGAAGCACAAUGGAAGUCUGUAUGCCCACAUUUUCUUUGCACGCUCUGGUUACUCCCCAGACCCGAAUGAUCCAGAGUACCAACCUCUGGCUGCUUUUGGAAAAACACACUCUAUUAUAACAUACUUGCCCAAGUCAAAAACGGACAAAAGGAAGAGUUUAUUGGGGAGCUCCAAAGGUUCUGAUGAGGGUGAAGCAGUGACUGAGGUGGUUGAUGAUACUCAAGGUGAUUCUAAAGAUGAUAAACCUGUUGAAUGGAUUGCGUCUUGGAAACCAAAUAUUACAAUCAAUUUAGUGGACGAUUUUACACGAUACCCUCAUAAUGCUGUACCACCCAAUGUUGCUCCUUACUUGAAUGUUGAGCCUACUACAGGAAACUACUACCCAACCAUGUUCUUCAAUGAGUUCUGGUUACUCAGAGAUAAGUUGAUACCAAUUAAUGAGACAGUGACAGAAUUGACAUUAAAUCUGGAGGUGGGUCCCAUAAGCAUGACCAAGUGGCAACUAUUCCUGCAGAUUGACCAAUCUUUCCAGAUUCACCGUAGUUAUGGAAGCAUGCUCGAGGGCGAGGCUGAUGAGUUGAAGAGGGUUUUCUUGGAAGGAAAUCCAUACCUCCUGGUAAUCACAAUGGUUGUUUCACUACUUCAUUCAGUGUUUGACUUCUUGGCAUUCAAGAACGACAUCCAAUUUUGGAACAAAAAUAAAUCUAUGGAAGGACUGUCUGCAAAGUCUGUUGUUGUGAGCUUUAUAUGUCAGCUCAUUGUUUUCCUCUAUCUACUUGAUAAUGACACCUCAUGGAUGAUUCUUGCAAGUUCUGGAGUUGGGUGCUGCAUCGAGUUCUGGAAAAUUGGGAAAGCCAUGCACAUAGAGGUUGAUAGAAGUGGGAAAAUACCUAUGUUAAGGUUCCGGGAUCGUGAGUCCUAUGCAGGGAAUAAGACAAAGGAAUAUGAUGAUAUCGCAAUGAAGUAUUUGUCCUAUGUGCUCUUCUUCCUUGCUAUAUGCUCAUCUAUUUACUCCCUCAUGUAUGAACGCCACAAGAGCUGGUAUUCUUGGAUUCUUUCUUCACUGACAAGCUGUGUAUACAUGUUUGGUUUCAUAAUGAUGUGCCCUCAAUUGUUCAUAAAUUAUAAGCUGAAGUCUGUGGCUCAUCUACCCUGGAGGCAGAUGACAUACAAAUUCCUCAACACCAUCAUUGAUGAUCUCUUUGCCUUUGUCAUAAAAAUGCCAACUCUACAUCGGCUUUCUGUCUUUCGUGAUGAUGUUAUAUUUAUGAUAUAUCUGUACCAGAGGUGGAAAUAUCCAGUUGACAAGAAACGUGUGAACGAAUUUGGUUUUGGUGGUGAGGAUGAUCAGGUUGCUGAUGGUGCAGAGGUGACCGCUACAAAGGAAGAUGAUAAGAAAACCAACUGAAAUGUUUUUUCAAUUUAUCGAUCGAAACCUGUUACAGCUCGCUACUGUAAUAUUUAGUUAGGAUAAAUUGAUUACUUAUUUCUCGUUUUGUUUUACGCAUUUUCAUUAGUGUGUUUCAGAAAAAAGAAAAAAAAAAAAAAGCUUGGUUCUAGGCCAUUGGCUUCUCUUCUGGAAGAAUUUUAUGGCCCAGGAGGGUGUUGCUCCUCCCAUCAUGUGCCUUGAAAUGUCAGUUAUCAUUUGACGGCUUAGAUUUGGAGAGAAUACAUCAUGAAGAAACGUACAUUAUGUGCGAGCAGCUCUCAAUGAUAUCUUUUCAGUUGAUUAUUUGUCAUUUAUCUUGUCGUCA